GGUAACAAAUGCCUUCAGUUCCAUUCAAACUUACUUUCCAACAGGAUUGAGAAGCAGCACUUUUCACUUUAAGGCAGAGCUACACAUGUGAGGACUCGAGAAGCUGAAAACCAAGAUCCUAUGGAAGCUGGAGGAGCUGCAGGCCCAGCUGCUGCCCAUGCCCACAAGAACCUGACAAUGCUGAUAUUAUAACUCAGAAGCUCUCUUCAUUCAGCUAUUCUGUGAGACCCCCAUGGUAAAAUCAAGGCAAACUUGCUCAGAGGCAGAGGAGCACUGACCACACGACAUGGAAUGAGGACACGGGUAACUUCUAUGCUUGUCCUUCCCCAGCUGGAUCUUAUCCAUCAGCUUGCUCACAAUUCCCAGCCAGAUUGUCUCCUUGUUUUAAAUAACUAUUUGUUGAGUGCUUAAUGUGUUCCAGGAAUUGUUUUUUGCGGGCUCUGGAAAUUUUAGGGAAACACGUGUCAAAUCAGGAACAAGUCAUUCUGCUCUUGACGAAAGGCAAGGUAGUUUUGUCAAUAAGCUCAAUAGCAGUGAUUGGCGUCCCUGUGUCAAUUGACCCACUCCAC
Hipposideros armiger (great roundleaf bat) is the source of this 569-nucleotide long non-coding RNA. RefSeq lists it as uncharacterized. Lineage: Eukaryota; Metazoa; Chordata; Mammalia; Chiroptera; Hipposideridae. The record is from RefSeq and is a predicted model, not a curated record. The transcript is spliced from 3 exons.